GUCCAACAGAUGGUUCAAGCUGGUCAUCAACAGCAGCUGGUAAAAAUAUACAGGUAAAUAUAUGUUGUUUAACCGUAGAAAUUUGAAUUAUAACUGAUCUUGAAGCAUCAGAAUUUUGUGUUAGAUCCACCAAUUACUGUGAAAAAGCUGAAUUUUUUCUUUAUUAAGCCAGAAUAAGAUUACUCGAAAACCUUGGAAA
RNAcentral lists this long non-coding RNA (199 nucleotides) under Nicotiana benthamiana. RNAcentral describes it as "long non-coding RNA (NBEN_LNC000020)". The record is from RNAcentral. Lineage: Eukaryota; Viridiplantae; Streptophyta; Magnoliopsida; Solanales; Solanaceae.